RNAcentral lists this ribosomal RNA (253 nucleotides) under uncultured bacterium. RNAcentral describes it as "partial 16S ribosomal RNA". It matches the Rfam family "Bacterial small subunit ribosomal RNA", at positions 524 to 776 of the family's 1533-position model. The record is from RNAcentral.
UACGAAGGGGGCGAGCGUUGUUCGGAAUCACUGGGCGUAAAGGACGCGUAGGCGGCCCUUCUUGUCGCGUGUGAAAGCCCCGGGCUCAACCUGGGAAUGGCGCGCGAAACGGGGGGGCUGGAGUUCGGGAGAGGAGCGUGGAAUUCCCAGUGUAGAGGUGAAAUUCGUAGAUAUUGGGAAGAACACCGGUGGCGAAGGCGGCGCUCUGGACCGAGACUGACGCUGAGGCGCGAAAGCGUGGGGAGCAAACAGG